AACGAACGCUGGCGGCGUGCUUAACACAUGCAAGUCGAACGCGAAAGGGACUUCGGUCCUGAGUAAAGUGGCGCACGGGUGAGUAACGCGUAGAUAACCUGUCUUCAUGUCUGGAAUAAUACGCCGAAAGGGGUACUAAUACCGGAUAUUCUUGCUUUUCAUAAGUUAUGCAAGCAAAGGUGGCCUCUGCAUAUGCUACUGCAUGAAGAGGGGUCUGCGUACCAUUAGCUAGUAGGUGGGGUAAUGGCCUACCUAGGCGACGAUGGUUAGCGGGUCUGAGAGGAUGAUCCGCCACACUGGCACUGGAACACGGGCCAGACUCCUACGGGAGGCAGCAGUGAGGAAUAUUGCGCAAUGGGGGAAACCCUGACGCAGCGACGCCGCGUGAGUGAAGGAAGGCCUUCGGGUCGUAAAGCUCUGUCAAGAGGAAAGAAGUGUACAAUGGCUAAUACCUGUUGUAUUUGACGGUACCUCUAAAGGAAGCACCGGCUAACCCCGUGCCAGCAGCUGC
This 511-nucleotide ribosomal RNA is filed under the name uncultured bacterium. Its description in RNAcentral is "bacterial SSU rRNA". It matches the Rfam family "Bacterial small subunit ribosomal RNA", at positions 29 to 518 of the family's 1533-position model. The record is from RNAcentral.